RNAcentral lists this long non-coding RNA (778 nucleotides) under Manihot esculenta (cassava). RNAcentral describes it as "long non-coding RNA (MESC_LNC009086)". The record is from RNAcentral. Lineage: Eukaryota; Viridiplantae; Streptophyta; Magnoliopsida; Malpighiales; Euphorbiaceae.
ACUUCUUUACUCUAUCCGGACUCCCGCACUAUACUGUACCUGCAAGCCUGGGGGUAAAGGGAGAGGGGUGAGCUAAAAGCCCAGUGAGUAGAGCUAGUAAAACACGUUAACACUAUGCUCUAUGAAAUGCAUCAUAACACAAACAAUUCACAUAAGGGUUGGGUGAACUCGUCACCAAUUAGUCCAAAUUAACUCUGUGCCAGGCCUGUAGAAUGGGGUCCUGGUCUUUCCUGUCAGAACAUAUAUUACUUACCAUUUUCCCAGGGCCUCCUCUGGCUCCUGGUCUUCAAGUCCCAUAACCGUGCUAGACCAUAGGAUGGGAUCCUGGUCUUUCCUUACUCUGUGCCAGGCCUGUAGAUUGGGGCCUGGUCUUUCUUACUCUGUGCCAGGCCUGUAGACUAGGGCUUGGUCUUUCUUACUCUGUGCCAGGCCUGUAGCAUGGGGCCUGGUCUUCCUGUCAUGGACUAACUGGGUCAUCCGACAUUCACCCACAACAACAACAACUUAUGCAAUGCGGCAUAUUCGUGAAAACUAAUGCAAUCAUCCUAUUGCAUAAUCAUGAUGCAUGAAACAUGAUAAAUCAUUUAAUUUAACAGAUUAAGUUUUAGUUCCACUCACCUCUGGCUGACUCUGACAAUACCGAAGCAGCUGAACUUACUGCUGGGGUCCUCGGUUCCUCGGGUCCGAACCUACACAGGUGGACUCAAAUGAGGGACCAAACAUACGUAAUUACAACUCUAAUAUACUCCCCAAAAACCCCCUAAAACAUCCUGAAAAU